UGAUGCACGCGAACAGCCAGAAACAUCGGUAUAUUCCGUGUGGAAACUGGAAAGUAUUUAUUAGUCAUGCAAUGUUUUCAACCUCUAACCUUAACCAAAUGUAGUGUUACAAUUAUUAUCCCUUGACAUUUAAACAAAUGCGUUACAGUUGUCAUCCUCUGACGUUUAAUUUCUAUAUUUGGUCGUAUUAGAUAUUGAAUUACAGUUCUACAGGAAGAUUGUCAAUAUCUUAUUGAUGACAGCCAUUGUUUUUUUCUUAUUUUUUGGUUUAUUUCCAGAUCAGUUGGUGAAACUGAAUAAUUACGCCUUUAAUAAACCUGCCAAACAAUCGUCCACGGACAGAACGAGUGAUUUCCUACCGGAAGUAGAUGGUGAUGCUAGUCUCGCAGUCGACGGAAGUUUAGACACUUGUUCAAGAACUGAUGGCCAGCCGUCCCCAACUUGGAGAGUGGAUUUUGGUAGAUUAAUGCCCGUUGGCAGCAUUAGAUUAUAUCUAAGUAAUUUUACAUAUGAUGAUAAUAUAGAUAUAUUUGUCGGAAUGAGUAAGAAGAUAACAGAAAACAGAUUAUGUAUACGUCAUCAACAUCAAUCUAGAACACCUAUACCUGAUAUAAGAUUAAAGUGUAUGUCAGAAUUAAGUGGGAGGUAUAUGGGAAUAAUAUUAAAUAUUAACGGAACUAUAGAUGAAACUAAAGUACUGGUAUUAUGUGAAGUGAUGGUGUUUGGUCGCUAGUCAUAAAAUACAACAGUCGUAUUAAUCAUAUUUCAUUAACAUAAAACAAGUUGUGAACCCCCGUACUAAAUGGUAGUGAGUAACACACGGGUGUCUUUUGGUUUUUUACAUAGUAGCAUACUCUGACUCAUGAACAGCACUCUUCACAUCACGCAUACUAACCGUAACAAUGUUUCAAGAUUGAAAAUGUCUUUAGUGCAGUGAUAAAUAUACUAAAAAUUGGAUAUUAUAUUAUUUUCAACCGACUAAAUGGGAUGAAUGGUCAUAAGAGCGUUUUACGUUUUAGACGUACUCCGCCUCGUGAAUGACAUCCUUCAUCUUGUCAAGGUAUGCUAGAAAUAACAAAGUUCCAAUUGCGAAUAUGGCUUUAAUGGAGUAGUCAUUAAAAUUGGAUAUUGCCUUGUUUUCAACGACUUGAAAUUAUAAGUUGAAAUGUCUUCUCAUCAAUUCCGGAUUUAGUAAUCAGCAUCGUGAACGCCAUGUCUCGCCGCUCUUACUAACAAUAACAAAUUUCAAGUGUAAAAAUCAACGACUAGGAAUGACACCACUUUUGAAUGUAGACUCCAGCGUCUACUAAUAUUUAAGAUAGUGAUUGUGCGGUGAGAAGAAAUUAUUUCUGGUGAGAAUCUCAACUUAUAUUAAUAUGAAUAUCCCUCAAAGACGUUACCUGAACAUUUUUAUCAUUGCAUUUGGUGUUUUAGUGAUUUGUAUAUUUAUGGACUUGGCUGCCUUUCGUAACGGAAAGCCAGACAAUCGGCUAAUGUCGUCAUUGUAAUAUUAUGAGGAAAGUCAGACAACCGGCUAUGGUCGUCAUUGUGUGAGGAUAGCCAGUCAACCGGUUGAUGUCGUCAUUGUAAUAUUAGUUUUAUAAACUUGUAAUGGGGUGUAACGUCUCAUUAACAAAAUAGUACAGACAUUUUGAGACUAACAUUAUAUUUCAAUGAUUACGAUGCCAACUACCAAAGUUCCUCUGCGUGUUUCAUCAACUCAAUCUUUGACACAGAGAGUGGAGUUUUGAAUCUAAUUACAUUAAAUGCGGUGUUCCCGAUAAAAAUUAAAAUAUGUAAUCAUAUGCUGUUGACUUUUAUCGGCACCAUUUUUAGAAUUGGGAUUGAUCAUAGAAAUUGGACUGAAACGGUCUGUGUCUGUUAUUUGUGGGGUUGUUCCUUGAUGGUAUGCCUGCAAGGGCCUUAGAUAUCUUUUACCCUUUUCCCUGUUUUGUUUUGAGGACAAUGUCCAGACUGAUCAUUAUAGGCACUAGCACUGUAUCUAUAUCCAUGACACUGACGUGAAUUAUUGUUUUCUAUCUUUGGUUUGGUGUCGUUUCUUAUGCUAAUCGCAGUCUGGAUUACCGAGACAUGUCUUGGUGAGGUAGACUGUGUCAACCAGGGUGACGUAUUAUGACGUAACGUUUUGCCGACCACAGUUUGGGUGACCAAGAGGUCAGUUAGCAAAGUAAAGUAGACUUGGUGAGGUAGACUAUGUCAAUCAGCUUGACAUUGACGUAACGUAACGUAACUUCCCAUUCUACUCAUAGAGUGUUACUAAUAUUUGUAUCUCGUCAAUUUCUCAGGCAACCUCUAAGUUAGCUGGUUAUUAUUUUGUUGAUAGCUUGUCUAUUAGAAUCGGUGUAGCCAGCAAACAAUAGUAACUGACUUUAAGACGUUGCCUGUGAUUUUAUCAUGUUUUGUCACUUGUCAUUUAUAUCAACAACAUACAUUCUAUGUAAACAGUUUCUUAUAAAAAAUAAAGUUUCUAUUUUAACCUGG
Long non-coding RNA from Patella vulgata (common limpet), 2502 nucleotides. RefSeq lists it as uncharacterized. NCBI's taxonomy places the organism in Eukaryota, Metazoa, Mollusca, Gastropoda, Patellidae. The record is from RefSeq and is a predicted model, not a curated record. The transcript has 4 exons.